CCUACGGGUGACAGCAGUGGGGAAUAUUGGGCAAUGGGCGCAAGCCUGACCCAGCAACGCCGCGUGAAGGAAGAAGGCUUUCGGGUUGUAAACUUCUUUUGUCAGGGACGAAGCAAGUGACGGUACCUCAGGAAUAAGCCACGGCUAACUACGUGCCAGCAGCCGCGGUAAUACGUAGGUGGCAAGCGUUAUCCGGAUUUACUGGGUGUAAAGGGCGUGUAGGCGGGGAAGCAAGUCAGAUGUGAAAACCACGGGCUCAACCUGUGGCCUGCAUUUGAAACUGUUGUUCUUGAGUGCUGGAGAGGCAAGCGGAAUUCCGUGUGUAGCGGUGAAAUGCGUAGAUAUACGGAGGAACACCAGUGGCGAAGGCGGAUUGCUGGACAGUAACUGACGCUGAGGCGCGAAAGCGUGGGGAGCAAACAGGAUUAGAUACCCCGGUAGUC
RNAcentral lists this ribosomal RNA (443 nucleotides) under uncultured bacterium. RNAcentral describes it as "partial 16S ribosomal RNA". It matches the Rfam family "Bacterial small subunit ribosomal RNA", at positions 338 to 795 of the family's 1533-position model. The record is from RNAcentral.